GACAGAGGUGCCGAGCGUUAGGCGGAAUCACUGGGCUUAAAGCGUGUGUAGGCGGAUCGUUAAGUACCUUGUGAAAUCCCACGGCUUAACCGUGGAACUGCUGGGUAUACUGGCGAUCUUGAGCCGCCUAGGGGCAACCGGAACAAAUGGUGGAGCGGUGAAAUGCGUAGAUAUCAUUUGGAACGCCAAUGGUGAAAACAGGUUGCUGGGGGUGUGCUGACGCUGAGACACGAAAGCCAGGGGAGCGAACGGG
RNAcentral lists this ribosomal RNA (253 nucleotides) under uncultured bacterium. RNAcentral describes it as "partial 16S ribosomal RNA". It matches the Rfam family "Bacterial small subunit ribosomal RNA", at positions 524 to 776 of the family's 1533-position model. The record is from RNAcentral.